AUUGAACGCUGGCGGCAUGCCUUACACAUGCAAGUCGAAACGGCAGCACGGGAGCUUGCUCCUGGUGGCGAGUGGCGAACGGGUGAGUAAUACAUCGGAACGUACCCUGAAGUGGGGGAUAACGUAGCGAAAGUUACGCUAAUACCGCAUAUUCUGUGAGCAGGAAAGAGGGGGAUCGCAAGACCUCUUGCUUUAGGAGCGGCCGAUGUCGGAUUAGCUAGUUGGUGAGGUAAAGGCUCACCAAGGCGACGAUCCGUAGCGGGUCUGAGAGGAUGAUCCGCCACACUGGGACUGAGACACGGCCCAGACUCCUACGGGAGGCAGCAGUGGGGAAUUUUGGACAAUGGGCGCAAGCCUGAUCCAGCCAUGCCGCGUGAGUGAAGAAGGCCUUCGGGUUGUAAAGC
Molecule: ribosomal RNA, 404 nt
Filed under: uncultured bacterium
Lineage: Bacteria
Description: bacterial SSU rRNA
Rfam family: Bacterial small subunit ribosomal RNA
Source: RNAcentral